Lepidothrix coronata (blue-crowned manakin) is the source of this 420-nucleotide long non-coding RNA. RefSeq lists it as uncharacterized. The transcript has 3 exons. The record is from RefSeq and is a predicted model, not a curated record. Lineage: Eukaryota; Metazoa; Chordata; Aves; Passeriformes; Pipridae.
GAAACAUGAACUCUGAACUUUACUUGCACAGCUUGUAGAAAUACAUCACACUUCUGUGGUGCAGCAGAGUGGGAGGCAGAAAAUAUGAAUCUUAUUAGCAGUUUGGCCAAUGUCUUCCUACGUGAACAUGGCUACAGGUUCCUGAGAGACUACAUGUGAGGAUCACACUGAAAGCUAUGCAGUUGAAGCACUGGCAACAGAAUAACAUGCUUGGCUGUCAUUUUUCCAGUCUUCUCUGCUGCAGUCUUAAAUUUCAUGAAAGAGGAGCUAUUGACUAGUAACUCCACAAAGAUGAAACGGUUUAAUUUGGACAAGGAAAACCUAUCUGAAGUUUCAGGUAAAAAUUCCCCCAUGCUUUGCUCUUCUGGGUGAUGAAAGAAUUUCCUGAAGGAACUAAAGAAACCACCCAACAAUGUCAAA